This 642-nucleotide long non-coding RNA is filed under the name Ananas comosus (pineapple). RNAcentral describes it as "long non-coding RNA (ACOM_LNC016530)". The record is from RNAcentral. Lineage: Eukaryota; Viridiplantae; Streptophyta; Magnoliopsida; Poales; Bromeliaceae.
CCACUGUUCACACGGACAGAGUCUCCCCUGUAUUUCCACGGCGUCGCAUAAGUACAAGAUACAUAAUAUAUGAUACAACCAUUAUAUAUGAAUAUACACACAUUCAUACACCAUUCACAUUCAGGUUUACAUUCAGAGUUUAUUCAUAAAUUCACAACUAUUAGUGUAAUUUGCUGGAUUUUUAAUAUAAAAGUAAGUUUAAUAAAAAUAGUGUAAGAUACUAUUUUGAUUGGACUUGUAGAAGUAAAAAAUAAGUCGAAAAUGACUUAUGCUGAAAUUGGAAUGAAAACAGAAGAUUUAGAAUUUUCUGUAAGAAACAGGGUUGAUAUUUUAGCAGAAAAUUCAUAGUGUUGGAAAAUUAUGAAAAUUUGAGAAAAUGUCGGAAUUAUUUUUCUGAUGCUAGAUUUAAAAUUUUAUAUCAUUCUGACAUCCGGAAAGUGAAAAACAAAAUUUGACUGCUAGAGAUUUUAGUCGGUAGAGGUUUCGGUGACAAAAAAUAGUUUAAAACUGAAAAGUUAAUAUUUCGUUCUACUUAUUAAUCUUAACUGAGCUUGACUGUCAAAUUUAAGUGCAAAUGGGCAUUUAGAAGAGCUCCGGCGAAAAAUAUCAGAUCUGAACUAAACUAAAGUGAGAAUAUUGAUG